GACGAACGCUGGCGGCGUGCUUAACACAUGCAAGUCGAACGGAAAGGCCCUGCUUUUGUGGGGUGCUCGAGUGGCGAACGGGUGAGUAACACGUGAGUAACCUGCCCUUGACUUUGGGAUAACUUCAGGAAACUGGGGCUAAUACCGGAUAGGAGCUCCUGCUGCAUGGUGGGGGUUGGAAAGUUUCGGCGGUUGGGGAUGGACUCGCGGCUUAUCAGCUUGUUGGUGGGGUAGUGGCCUACCAAGGCUUUGACGGGUAGCCGGCCUGAGAGGGUUACCGGCCACAUUGGGACUGAGAUACGGCCCAGACUCCUACGGGAGGCAGCAGUGGGGAAUAUUGCACAAUGGGCGGAAGCCUGAUGCAGCAACGCCGCGUGCGGGAUGACGGCCUUCGGGUUGUAAACCGCUUUCGCCUGUGACGAAGCGUGAGUGACGGUAAUGGGUAAAGAAGCACCGGCUAACUACGUG
This 468-nucleotide ribosomal RNA is filed under the name uncultured bacterium. RNAcentral's name for it is "partial 16S ribosomal RNA". It matches the Rfam family "Bacterial small subunit ribosomal RNA", at positions 28 to 507 of the family's 1533-position model. The record is from RNAcentral.